AGCCAAUAAGAGAAUGGAAACUAUGUAAGACAACAAGAUUCGUAAAGUGGAGUGAUGAUGUUAUGUAAGGAUAAGACUGUAUAAAUGCCAAGUACUAAGAAUGAAGAGUUGGUUCUUCCAUGUAAUUGCUCAGCUUUGUUACUCUCUGUAAUAAAGUAUUUUUGAAUUCACAAACUCCGGUAUCUGAGAAGUAUUUGAUUCAAUAUUUUCCACAACACUGUCCACUCCGCGGACCUGGAGUGGGCCCAUUCCUCCAGGCUUGCCUGCCACCCGGGCUCCAAUUGGACCCUGGCCUUUGUGUGACAAUGCUUUUGGUGGCCUACUAUGGUUCCAGAUGUCGCAGCGUUUGUCGCCGCUUGCACGGUCUGUGCUCAGAACAAGACUCCUCGGCAAGCUCCAGCUGGUCUUAUUUAAACACUGCCUGUCCCUCACCAUCCCUGGUCCCACAUAUCCCUGGAUUGUGUCACGGGUCUCCCCCCAUCUGAGGGCAACACUGCCAUCCUGACUGUGGUCGACCGGUUUUCCAAAGCCAACCACUUCAUUCUUCUUCCCAAACUACCCUUGCCCAAGAAGAUGGCCCAGCUCAUGGUGCAGGACGUCUUCCGGAUCCCUGGACUGCCCACGUGGACAUGGUCUCCAACCGAGGUCCUCAGUUCUGGAAGGCCUUCUGCACCCUCAUUGGGUCAUCGGCCAGCCUGUCCUCUGGGUUCCACACCCAGUCCAACGGCCAGUCGGGGGGGGUGCCAACCAAGACCUCGAGACUACUCUGCGCUGCCUGGUCUCCGCCAACCCCACCACCUGGAGCCAGCAGCUUGUCUGGGUGGAAUACACCCGCAACACCCUUCUCUGCUCUGCCACGGGCCUAUCGCCCUUGGAGUGUUCCCUGGGGUAUCAGCUCCCGCUCUUCCCCGAGUAGGAAGAAGAGGUCGGCAUACCUUCUGCCCAGAUGUUUUCCCGCCGCUGUCGUCAUACCUGGAGGAGAGCCCGGUCAGCCCUCCUCAAGACCACCUGCAGGUAUUCAUGACAAGCGGAUUGCCAUCGGACCCGGGCUCCCUGGUAUCAUCUCGGGCAGAAGGGACAUCCUGGACCCAGGCCUCAUUUCGGAUUUCCAACGCCGACACCCCGGUCAACCAGGUAUGCAACCAGGUAUGCGCCCUAGGGGGGGUACUGUCACACCCUGAUCUGUUUCACCUGUCUUUGUGAUUGUCUCCACCCCCCUCCAGGUGUCACCCAUCUUCCCCAUUAUCCCCUGUGUAUUUAUACCUGUGUACUUUGUUUGUCUGUUGCCAGUUCGUUUUGUUUCUACAAGCCUACCAGUGUUUUCCCCUCCGUUCCUGUCUCUUGAUUGUUCCUGUUUUCUAGUUUUCCCGGUGUUGACCUUAUCUGCCUGCCCUGACCCUGAGUCUGCCUGCCGUCCUGUACCUUUGCCCCCCUAAUUUGGAUUACUGACCUCUGCUGACCCUGAGCCUGCCUGCCUUCCUGUACCUUUGCACAACCUUACUGGAUUACUGGUGAUGUAAAUGCACCUUCAAGAGCGAGGUAAUUGAUAUUACAGAACAAUGGUUUAGAAUCUGAAGGGUUGGCCCAAACAAUUUGGCUGGGAUUCAUUCUAGUGCUGUGAAAGCGUCUUGCCCGCUGCGCACUGAACUUCCUCCAAUGCACCUUUGAAAUUUCCCUGAUGGCACACAGGCUCUGCAUCAUUUCACAUGGGUACAUUUCUGUUUUCAAAUGUCAAGGAUCUAGGCUUACUGUACAGCAGCAUCUUGUACGCACUGCCAAUCUAGACUUAAAGGGGCAGUUUGGGAUUUUGCUUCAGCCCAGCGGCAACCCCGAUACUUAAACUGGGGGAUGGGACUGUAUACUGUAAGUGUAACAGAUUUCAAAUGUAGAGUAAUGGAUACAAGGGCUGACAGUCAAUGAGAGCAACAUGACAGCUUUUGCCAUAUUCUGAAGCUAUACAUUGUUUGUUUACGAAGACAUUGUUAAGCCGAUCAUAACCCCCCCAAAAAUGUUUUUUACUCUGUUGUUUUUAAAUCAAAAAUCAAAUCAAACUUUGUCACAUGCACCAAAUACAACAAGUGUAGACCUUACCAUGUAAGUAAGCAUUUCAUGACAAAUAAAAUUUGAUUUGAUUUUUGAUUUAUAAACAAAGAAGUAUUUAAAAAAAAAAAAACAUUUUUACAAUAAAGCACACGUAGCCUACAUAUUAAUACAUACACACAAACAAUCUUGGUCAAAUAAGAGUUAGUGAGGACAAGGACACAGCAGGCAAGGUCAGAGUUUCUCAAGCUAUUUGUGCCAGGGACCUGAACGCUAUCCCGCUGGGCACAAACUGGUUAUAUCAACAUUGUUUCCACAUCAGUUCAACAAACAUUUUAUGUGAUAAUGUUGAAUCUACAUAGAAAUCUGAUUGGAUUUGCAAAAAGUCAUCCACAUAAGGACUUUCAUUUAUUUUCUUUCAUUUUUUUCACGCAACUUUUUACUUUUAGGCUACUACCAGAUCUGUGUUGUUUUGCCAACUAUGUUCAGAGGUAGUCAUAGAGAAUGAAUAGGCAAAAUGUGGUUUAGGGGGUAUGACUUUGAAAUUCCACAGUAAAUUAAAGUAUUUUUACUAAUGAAUAUGCCUUAGAUAUGCUUUAAUGAGAUUUGGACUAAUGGCUUACUUUAUCCACACCUUACCUCAUUAUUCCAAUAUAGCUUUUGUUUAGGAUCCACUGCUGGAUUCCUGCCAGCCUGCCACUGUGAAAUGAACGCUAUUGUACCAAUUAUAAAAUGGAUAACAAACAACCUUUGAAUAUAGCCUAGCGGUUAAGAGUGUUGGGCUAGUAACUGAAAAGGCCGCUGGUUUGAAUCCCCUAGCCAACUAGGUAAUAAAAAUGUUGGGUGAAAAAAAUCUGAAGUUGCCUUACGUUGACACCUUUUUGCAAAUCCAAUCAGUUUCCCACAUUGUUUCAACGUCAUCAGAUUACAAUUUUUGGUUGAAAUUACAUGCGAACAACUUUAAUGCAAAAAGUUUUUGCCCAGUGGGAGGUGCUUUUAUAGGCUUCCCUUAUUAUGGACUGACCCACUGGAAAAUAUACAGGGUCGGAUUCACUAGGCACGAAACUGAAAAAAACUGUUUGAAACUGGGAGGUACUAUAUGAGCUCGUUUUGCUACAGUGUGCCCUAAUGAAUAUGACCCAGGUUUGCUUUAUAUUUUCUUUAGCUCAGUGUAGCCUAGCCUGAUGCAUUAGCCUUGCAGCGCCACAAUCCCAUUAGGGAGCUUGAUAUACCAGUCUUCCAUCUACAAAUCUAGCUUGGCCGAGAGCCUCUUAGCUUCACCCGGGGAGACAUCCAGUCCAGGAAAAACAACAUUGAGACUGUUUAAGGAAUAAGGACAGACAUGGAGCUCAAUCUGGCCAUGGCCCAGUAAGUGCAUCUCAGUUCAAGGUGAAAAGGCCUACGUUACAGCUUUGACGUGGAUUACGACAUGUUGUGCAAUUUACAGUCAAAUCAAUGUCAGAAUGUUUUGUAUAGCAUAUGAGGUCCCUAGCUUGGGUAUCUAGCCUACCUGACUGUUUCAGCAUUCAGACACAUUACAUUGUCUUGACAGCAGCUAAUGGGGCUCCAUAAUAAAUACAAAUACCAAUUCCAGAAAACAACUUCAAAAUGUGUGUGUGCCCACCGGAUGUAAAUGACUAUCAACAUUGUUGUUCUAUGGCUGGCCUAGGUUGUAUUCAUUAGGGCAUACUGUAGUUGACGUAGGAAAGUGUUUUACAACAGAAAAUGAAAACAAGCCUUUCUUAUUGGACAAGUUCAGGCAGUCCCUCCCUGUUUCAAUCUGUUUUGUUCCCUUUGGUGCCCAAUGAAAAUGAACCAGGCUGGUUGUGAAAGGCCUGGCAUUCACUCACCUAAUUGACUUCUCUGUUAUGUUAAGAUGUUCUGUUCUGAGAAGAUUUGCGGGCAUCAAGCUGGGAACCCCUUUAAGGACAAUUGCUUUCGAUGUGAAAUGCUUACAUGGCAGUAAUGAAUGUCCUCUGGCAUAAUCCAUGGACCACUGGUUAUGGACGAUUCCUUCAUAGUGAUUGGUUGAUCAGCAGCUCCAUGGUUCCACAGUGAAAGACUGUGAAGAAUUAACCACAGGAUGAGAAUCACAUACUGAGGGACUUUACCAGACAAAUUAGCUUGGUCUGAGGGGCUUUGUGUUUUCUAUUGAUUCAAUUGCUGUGCUGUCAUGACAGUCUUGACAGCUUAUAAAUAGAAUCAGUAGAAAGAAUGAGAUGGGGUGGUACAGCCUCAUUAAAUAGUAUUUUCAGUCUAUCAUGGGUACUAGAUUGAGUUUUAUUUGUUUUAAUGAAUUCCAUUUCAGAUUAAUUAAAGCAUUUGGGGAGUUGUAUGAUCAUUUGAAUUGAGGAGAGAGUGUCUAGGUCGGCAUUACCUUGAAUAAUGUUCAGGACAAGCUGACAUGAGGGUAUAUACAGGGACUAUAGGCUAGGGUACCAUACGUUUUUAUCAAUUCACAACCCUUGGGGCCUGGGGAAACCUGUCUGACAUAAUUCCUGUUCUAAAGCUGCUCCAAGUCACCUGACUGGAACAUUAGUGAAGCCUCUGUGUCCAACCUCUUAUCAGUUCAAGUGCUUUCAUGAUCGAGUCCUUCCUAAUUACUGACACCAACUCGGGAGUCCCUCCUGUUUAAUGACCUCUUUUAGUAGGCCUACUGCAGAGACUCAGCACCAAGGAGCUUCAGAACAGAGGACAGCGCUCCCCCAACCACCUGCCUGCCAACAUGGGACAGACGCACCACACGGAGCAGAAUGACCCAGAGAUCGAUGUCAAGGCGCUCCAGGACAUGUACAAAAAGUUUGUGACGGAGUGCCCGAGCGGUGUUUUAUUUAUCCACGAGUUCAAGCGUUUUUUUGGCGUCGACCCAACUGGGGAAGUCUCUGAGUAUGCGGAGAGUAUGUUUCGAGCUUUUGACAAGAAUGGGGUGAGAUAGCCUAUUGUAUGCUGUAUGUUUCUGAGUUUAUAGUUUUCUAUAUCCUUGCAAAUGAACACGGGCACCGUUUUUCUAAGUUUAGGGAAAAAAACGAUUGUUUUCAAUUUGUCUAUGUCUUUUCAGGAUAACACCAUUGAUUUUCUGGAGUUUGUGGCAGCCUUGAAUCUGGUUUUCCGGGGGGACUUGGAGCACAAAUUACGCUGGUCAUUUAAAGUAUACGACAAGGACGGCAACGGCUAUGUAGAUAGGACAGAACUGCGAGCUAUUAUUGAUGUAAGCACCCAGUGAAGGUCGCCCGAGGAUUCCACAAGGUCACUACGGUGUCUAGUGAUUAAAUUAUCCAAGGGUCUUAUGGGAGUGUCUUCUUCAGUGGUGAUAAAUAAGCCGAAGCAGACAAUCAGUUUAUCAGUUAAAACUUUCUGUUCAGAUGGCUAACUUUUAACAAUUCUGAUGAGCCAAUUCUGUGUGUAUGUGUGUGUGUAGGCUACUUUUGGCAUGAGGUGUGGUUUAAAUUACAAAUCUAAAACAACUUUGAUGUGUAAAAACAUUAAGUGUGAAUGCACACCUGCAAACAGGUGCUAUUGAUGUAAGUUAGGCCUAACAAUAGUAAAGGUUUUUAGGCCCUCUUACUUUGUGAAUGAUCUUGUCCCAAAUAAUUUAGAACCAUAGACUGUAUGUAUUGGUUACACACUGUUGCUUCUUAAUUUCCCCCCUAGAGUAUAUAUCGAUUAAAGACGACGUCCAAGAGAGAGCAGGAGGGUAUGCAGCUGUCGGUGAAUGAAGUGUGUGAAAGAAUACUGAAGACUGUGGAUGUGGACAAUGACGGUCACAUCACCCUGGAGGAGUUCAUCAAGGGGGCCCAGGGAGACCCAUGGAUCAUGAACAUGCUCCAACUGGACAUGAACCCUUAUGGCUGGGUGCUGGAACAGAGAAGGAAGAGCGCACACUUUUAAAAUGACUGGAAAGACAAAAGCAUCUUCAUUUAACAUUUUUCUUUAUUUUUUCCCCUUUUUUUUUCUUAAACUAAAUUAGGUUCCAAAUCAAUUGCACAUAAUAGGAAAAAACACAUUGCAGAUUCAUUCAGAUUGUUUAAGCUAUUUUUAAUUAUAAGGACAGGAAUGGUUGUGUCGAUUACCUUCCAUAAAUUCCAUGAGAUGAACAGCUUGUUCAUUCUGAGUGAACCUGCAGUGCAGUUUUUCUUUAUCUAUAGAUGAUUUAAUUGGGGCCUUAAAACAAUGUCAGUUCCACUUUAACUACUUUGCAGAUAUGAAACAAACAGACAAUCAUAAUAUCAAUACAAAAUAUAAAAUUCCCAGAUCAUGCUACAAAACCAACUUAAUAAGAGGUUUUAAAAAUAGGUUCUAUUUCACUCAAAAUUCCAUGACAUACAGUAAGGCAUUGUUGGGAGAAUAGAUGGAUGCAGUUCAAUGCAUGAAUAAUAUAAUUCACCAAUACAGUGCAUUCGGAAAGUAUUCAGACCUUGACUUUUUCCACAUUUUGUUACGUUACAGCCGUAUUCUAAAAUGGAUUAAAUCAUUUUUUUCCCUCAUCAAUCUACACACAAUAACCCAUAAUGACAAAGCAAAAACAGGUUUUUAGAAAUGUUAGCAAAUGUAUUAAAAAUAAAAAAAAAUGAAAUAUAACAUUUACAUAAGUAUUCAGACCUUUACUCAGUACUUUGUUGAAGCACCUUUGGCAGUGAUUACAGCCUUGAGUCUUCUUGGGUAUGACGCUACAAGCUUCGCACACCUGUAUUUGGCAAGUUUCUCCCAUUCUUCUAUGCAGAUCCUCUCAAGCUCUGUCAGGUUGGAAUAAGGAGAAGAGCUGCACAGAUAUUUUCAGGUCUCUCCAGAAAUGUUAGAUUGGGUUCAAGUCUGGGCUCUGACUGGGCCACUCAAGGAAAUUCAGACACUUGUCCCGAAGCCACUCCUGCAUUGUCUUGGCUUUGUGCUUAGGGUCCUUGUCCUGUUGGAAGGUGAACCUUCACCCCAGUCUGAGGUCCUGAGCACUCUGGAAAAGGUGUUCAUCAAGGAUCUCUCUGUACUUUGCUCCGUUCAUCUUUCCUGCAAUCCUGACUAGUCUCCCAGUCCCUGCCGCUGAAAAACAUCCCCACAGCAUGAUGCUGCCACCACCAUGCUUCACCUUAGGGAUGGUGCCAGGUUUCCUCCAGACGUGACGCUUGGCAUUCAGGCUAAAGAGUUCAAUCUUGGUUUCAUCAGACCAGAGAAUCUUGUUUCUCAUGGUCUGAGAGUCCUUUAGGUGCCUUUUGGCAAACUCCAAGCGGGCUGUCAUGUGUCUUUUACUGAGGAGAGGCUUCCAUCUGGCCACUCUACCAUAAAGGCCUGAUUGGUGAAGUGUUGCAGAGAUGGUUGUCUUUCUGGAAGGUUCUCGCAUUGCCACAGAGGAGCUCUGAAGCUCUGUCAGAGUGACCAUCGUGUUCUUUGUCACCUCCCUGACCAAGGCCCUUUUCCCCUGAUUGCUCACUUUGGCUGGGCGGCCAGCUCUAGGAAGAGUCUUUGUGGUUCCAAACUUCUUCCAUAUAAGAAUGAUGGAGAACACUGUGUUCUUGGGGACCAUCAAUGCUGCAGGCAUUUUUUUAUACCCCAGAUCUGUGCAUCGACACAAUCAUGUCUCGGAGCUCUACGGACAAUUCCUUAUAUAGACAGGUGUGUGUCUUUCAAAUCAUGUCCAAUCAAUUGAAUUUACCACAUGUGGGAUCCAAUCAAGUUGUAGAAACAUUUCAAGGAUGAUCAAUGUAAACAGGCUGCACCUGAGCUCAAUUUCGAGUCUUAUAGCAAAGGGUCUGAAUACCUGUUUUCGCUUUGUCAUUAUGGGGUAUUGUGUGUAGAUUGAUGAGGAUUUUUUUUUUAUUUAAUCCAUUUUAGAAUAAGGCUGUAACGAAACAAAAUGUGGAAAAAGUUAAGGGGUCUGAAUAAUUUCAAUAUGCACUGUACAUUUCUUGGUAGUCCAAAAAAUAUUGCUAUCAAGUUGUAAAUCACAGUUGGCCUGGUACAUUGUUUGCUGCCUCCACUUAAAUCGGGAUGCAUUGUUUCAGUUUCAAUCACUCAAUAUUUUGGGACAAAACUGGACGAAUGUAACUAUGGCUGGGAAUGUCAAUACAAUCAAACUUGCAAGGGCAAUGAUCACAAGAUUUUAGCUCAUCUCGCUCUGGCUAGUAUUAGUUGUUUAUCUUGUGGUUGUUGAUGUGCAUAACUGAAGGUGUCAUGCUCUGACCUAGGAGAGCUGUGUUUUCUCUGUUUAGUUAGGUCAGGGUGUGAUAGGAGGGUGGGCAUUCUAUGUUUUGUUUUCUAUGUUUUGGCCGGGUAUGGUUUCCAAUCAGAGGCAGCUGUCUCUCGUUGUCUCUGAUUGGAAGCCAUACUUAGGCAGCCUGUUUUCCCUGUGUUUUUGUGGGAUCUUGUUUUUGUGCAGCUGUGUGUGAGCAGCCCCAGAACGUCACAUUUGUUUCAGUUUCCCCUGUUUAUUGUUUUGUUCAAGUUCACAAAUACAAUAUGUGGAACUACCGGCACGCUGCGCCUUGGCUGAUCUUUGACAGGGAAUUCGAAGACAGCACUCGUGACAGAAGAUCCCACCAAAAGAAAGCCAAGCAGCGUGCGCUCACCAGGAAGACGAGUGGGACCAAGCAGUGUGGUUCAGAGGACUGGACCUGGGAAGAGAUCCUGGAUGGGGCAGGACCUUGGACAAGGCCGGGAGAGUAUCGCCGCCCGCCGGAGGAGAUAGAGGCAGCGAAGGCGGAACGGCGAUACUGGGAAGAACGGCUAAGAGAGCUACAGGAGCCCGAGAGGCAGCGGCAAAAAAAAAAAUUGUGGGGGGGGGGGCACACGGGUAGAUUGGCUAAGGCGGGUGUAAGACCUGAGCCAACUCCCCGUGCUUACCGUGGGGAGCGAGUGACUGUACAAGCACCGUAUUAUGCGGUGGUGCGCACGGUGUUGCCCAUGCGCACUCACAGCCCGGUGCGCUCGGUGCAAGCUCCUCACCGUUGUUGUGCUAAGGUUGGCACUCAGCCAGCUUGGAGUAUGCCAUCAUUCACUUUGAGCUGGACUGUGUGUUUACAGGCAGUAGGGCCUGCCAUCAUUCACUUUGAACUAGACUGUGUGUUAACAGGCAGUAGGACCUGCCAUUCUGAAAUAAUUCAGAAUAGCCUACUACACCAUGAAAAUGCCCUUAAUUUAGCCACAGAGGAUCAACAGCUUCUUUAAAAAAAAUGCCAAGCUGUGGAUUGUGUGUAGCCCAAUAACAAGGCAUGGCCUACAGUCGGGAACGCGCUGCAAAUCUGUCAGUGAACAGUAUGCAGACAAAAUGGGCUUUCUAAAUAUUUCUAAAACAAUUGCGGGAAAACACAGGUUGGAAACCAAAUGUCUCCUGCUAAAAAGAGAAGAAGUCUGCUGUAGCAUAACAAAAUAUUUGAUCAACUUCCAAAUAUUGUUUUACAAAGUAAUCUGACUAUGUCGUAUGGCUGUGGGCUACACUAGUUCAUUUAGCAGACAAGAUUUGCUUAGAAUUCUGAGGCAUUAUUUUAUAUCUGUCAUGACCGUCGUUUAAAUAACUGGACCAAGGCGCAGCGUGAGUAGAGUUCCACAUUUUAUUGCUCGUGAAACUUCAAAAAAUAAAAAAGAUAUAACGAUCGUGCAAAACGUAGCGCACAAAGGCACUCGCACAAAACAUUAUCCCACCAUGCAGGUGAGAAAAGGGACACACUAAGUAUAAUCCCCAAUUAGAGGCAAAGAUAUUCAGCUGCCUACAAUUGGGAACCAUACUCACACACCAACAUAGAACUAUAAUAACUAGAAAAAAAACCUAGUCACGCUCUGACCUAUUACACCAUAGAGAACCCCGAGGGCGCUCUAUGGUCAGGGUGUGACAAUAUCAUUUUAUAGUAUGAAGAAUAUAGUUUAACAUAGCUGAAUAAAAUAUAAAUCAUAUUUUCUCCAAACGAUUUGGGGGAGUGUGGACAUGCAGCAAUUCUGUGUUGAGCAGUUAACAAAGAAACAGCUAUUCCUAUAUGCUUAAUUUAGAGUUAUUUAUGAAACUUUAGUUGUGAUGCAAAUGUUGGGCUAUAUAUAUAUUUUGAUUUUAAUACAUUCUAAGGCUGUAUGGUGCUACUCUCAUUAUGAUUUUUUAAAAGUUGCAUGAAAGGCAUGAGCUCAGCUUUGUUUUUUUGCGCAGGCUGUACAGACUCAUUCACAAUCUGACAAACACUUGAUAAUUCCUCAAAUUUCCUGGCUGCAUCCCCUGUGUGGCCGUAAUGCUCCUUAAAAAAAAUCCAUGCCUUUUGCGGCCAGUAGCCAUUGUGCCCUUGGGCUGAAUAUGAUCAUUAUAAUUCCUAUGGACAGCCAUGUGAGCACCUCUCACUCACGUGGCUGUCCAUCACGUGAUCGGGUCUUUCUCACAGGCUACAAGUGAAGACAGACUCGGGGACGCAACGGCGCACAUCCAUAUCCAGUUCUGAGGUGCAUAUUGGAAGAACUGUCUAAAUUUACUUUUCGUCAGCCAACAAGAUGAGUAGGCCUACCGAACAGCUAAAGUACUAGCCUAUGUCAAUCUACUAUCCCCCAUAAUACAAAAGUUGACCUAUUCUAUUCUGUGCGAGAAAUAAAUAUUCCAAACAUAGUGUCAUGACUAUCUCUAUCUUGGUGAGGAUCACAGGACAACAGAUAGCCCAAACCCCCUCUCUCCCAGAGGAGAGGGGGAGUUGGGCUGGUUUUAGGACUUAAUGACAGGUCGUAAACUUUCUCUCUCUUGCACUGCAGUAUGGAGAAGUUAAAAAUCCUUUCGUUACAACAGAGAGAAACUGUGACACCAAAACUUCAACAUCAAAAGAUUGGACAUUGGAACAUUUGUUUUGAAAUCCAAAUGUUUGGAAUGGUUGGUAAGGAUCCAAACAAUAAUCAUGUCAUCAUUUAUUAUUUUGUGAUGUCAUAAGGAUGGUAUAACAAGAUAACUGUAACUCUAAGAGUGUACACGCCCGAGUUGUCAGGUUUGCAUCUAAAUGUUGUAUAAAAUCAAUGAUUAAAACAUACCUGUCUGAAGAUUUACAGGUGCAAAUACUUAGCUAGUCCCCCCCUUCAUUUUAGAGCCCGUUUAUUACUAUGC
This 11086-nucleotide long non-coding RNA is filed under the name Salmo salar (Atlantic salmon). RNAcentral describes it as "lncRNA (ENSSSAG00000086839.1)". Lineage: Eukaryota; Metazoa; Chordata; Actinopteri; Salmoniformes; Salmonidae. The record is from RNAcentral.